UUUUUUUAAUUUACUGAGUCUUUGAUGAGCUCACCCCUGGUUACAAAACUCCCCAAGACUCCAUUUAUUAGAGGUGAGAAAUGCUUUCACUCUCAGCACGUCAUUUCAUAUGUGUAAGGUCAGUAGUACUGGAGAUUACCGAAUGAAGAAAUAGCCUUGUGUCUUAAUAUACACGUGUAAAAGUGCUGAUCAGGUGUUUAAGAUGCAGAUUUUAGAUAGAAGUGUGUUCAUUUCAGUGCACAAAUCCAGACAAAUUAAAUCCUGCCGGACUAGUAAAACCUCAAAAACACAUGGAGGAGGAGGAGGGGGGCUCGGUUUUUCCUGUGUGUGUAAACAUGUCAGUGUAUACCCUGCUGUAUGUUGAGGAGAGGGGGAGAUGGCAGACUGCCAUGACAAACUCAUUGACCCCUCCCCCCCCCUCCCCUCUCCAGCUCCCUUUAGCAGUGGUGAGGCCAAGUUUGGGAUAGGAGCCAGUAGCAGCAUAGCAAGGCUGCACAGCUCCCAGCGUUGGCCAACUGGAACACAGUCGCUAUGUAGAUUUCUGGGAUCCUUCACAGUGUCAGAUUUCAGUGAUCCUGUCCUCUCUGUUGCCUUGCAGAAGCAUGUCCUGCUCCUGCUUCCAUGCCAAGACCUUUUUUGGGAUACACACUUCAAGCUAAUCAUCUAAACAUUUGUCAUACGUGUAUGGUAUUUACAUGUGGUAUAAAAAGAUGCAUGAAUACAAAGGAAUGAGAAAAAUUCCAGCUUCCCAUCGCUCAUUUGCAAGCAAUCAGAUUCUAGGAGGCAUUAAUAGUUGUGCAGCCGUUUAACUCUAAGGUAGUACUGCAAACUAGGAGAACAAAGAGAUCUAAGUGUUUCUAUGCAAUGUUUUUUUUCAGCAAAUAAAAGGUGUGCCAGUAAUAUGUGGCAGCUUUGAAAACAAUGUGGAAUUACUGCCAUCUACAGGACAUCUAAUGCAUUACAUGUUUAACUUUUACAAUCGAGAGAAACUGUAAACCAUGUCAUCAAAGUGUGUGUCUUUGAAAGGCAGGUAAAAAGCUACAUCAAGUUGUCAGUCUCUCAUUUUGCAAUUAAAAAAACCCUGUAUAUCUUACCAUCUGUAAAGCCCGUAGAGUAGGAAUCUGAUUUGUGAUACUGUAAAUGUACUUUUAAGGCCAUGGCAUCCAGGCUGCAUGUCAGCACUGACCCUCUAAAUACCCUAACACUCAAAGUUUUUGUAAAUGGUUAGCCUCACAGCAUAAUUUCUCCAAGUCAUGUUUUUGGCCAAAUUGUGAUAUCUGCAUAAAAUGAAGUAGCAGUGUUAGGGGUAAAGUUAUGUAGAUAUCACAAGUUGGCCAAAAAUAUGACUUAGGUAAUUAUGCUAUAAGGCUAAUAAAAUGAAAUGUAAUAGGAACUGACUGA
Sphaeramia orbicularis (orbiculate cardinalfish) is the source of this 1401-nucleotide long non-coding RNA. RefSeq lists it as uncharacterized. The record is from RefSeq and is a predicted model, not a curated record. NCBI's taxonomy places the organism in Eukaryota, Metazoa, Chordata, Actinopteri, Kurtiformes, Apogonidae. The transcript has 3 exons.